Molecule: long non-coding RNA, 673 nt
Filed under: Manacus vitellinus (golden-collared manakin)
Lineage: Eukaryota; Metazoa; Chordata; Aves; Passeriformes; Pipridae
Description: lncRNA (ENSMVIG00005006634.1)
Source: RNAcentral
AAUGACCCUGUGCCUUUUCUGUUUCUCCUGCCAGAGUCGGUAGGGUUUGGACUGAUCUCUCUUUUAUUUCUCCAGGUAGCAGAGAGGUUUCUUUCCCCUUUAGUAGAGAAGAUAGUGUAGAGACCCCUUAUUAGAGAAGAUAGUGUACAGACCCCUUUAGUAGAGAAGAUAGUGUACAGAGAAGAUAGUAGAGAAGAUAGUGUACCCCUUAUUAGAGAAGAUUGCUCUGCCUGCAGCUGUACCCAUGGACAAGCUUGGAUUCCAACAGUUCUGUUCACAGCAAGUGAGUCCCCACUUGUGUGUAUUUCUCCUGCUGAUCUACGCGUAGGAGAUGUUUUUCCACUGACCUUGGGUUUGGGAGCUGGAGGGUUUGUGGGUGUUGUUUUCAAAUCAGGUCUGUUUUGUGGGCUUUUGCAGUAUUUGGUACCCGAAGCCGAGCACGCAGAUCAUCCUGGGAGGACAAAGAGCCAAAACACAGCUGGUUUCCAAAGCUGUCUUCCCCCACACUUGUCAUGUGGGCACAGGGAUACCACACUUGCAAGGGCUUCUCCAAAGGUUUUUCUGCCAGGAGUGCUCCAGGCUUUCAGAAGGUAACUUUCCAGCCCAGAACAGAAACAUGGACCUGAUGCUGUCAUUUCCUGAGCACUGUAAGGUGUCCUGCACCUCUUGCCUC